RNAcentral lists this long non-coding RNA (345 nucleotides) under Homo sapiens (human). RNAcentral describes it as "non-protein coding lnc-SNRPN-8:156". Lineage: Eukaryota; Metazoa; Chordata; Mammalia; Primates; Hominidae. The record is from RNAcentral.
AUGGAAGACCCCUGUCAUUGACUGGCAUAGGGUUCAGUGGCGGAGAGAGCAUCAGGUGGCCCACGUCUGUGAUGGGCCAGUAUUCCACAUGGAUCUCAUCACAUGGGUCCAUGGAAGGCGAGCAUCCCUGAGCUGGCACACCCCACCUUCUGCCAGCAUGGAAGGAUGGUGAGCACAGAGGAAGAAUUGCGUUAGGCCCUUUGGCCCCGGACCAGUGUCUGCCAGCCACGUGCUCAGCCUCCCGUGCGCUAAAGCUCAGGUCCUUCCUGUCAUCCUGGUAUCCUGCACUGAGGUGUGUGAGCUCUUCCCCCCAGCAGGCCCCCUGGGAUUGACUGGCAAAGGUGA